Molecule: ribosomal RNA, 253 nt
Filed under: uncultured bacterium
Lineage: Bacteria
Description: partial 16S ribosomal RNA
Rfam family: Bacterial small subunit ribosomal RNA
Source: RNAcentral
UACGUAGGGUGCAAGCGUUAAUCGGAAUUACUGGGCGUAAAGCGUGCGCAGGCGGCCAUGCAAGACAGAUGUGAAAUCCCCGGGCUUAACCUGGGAACUGCAUUUGUGACUGCAUGGCUAGAGUGCGGCAGAGGGGGAUGGAAUUCCGCGUGUAGCAGUGAAAUGCGUAGAUAUGCGGAGGAACACCGAUGGCGAAGGCAAUCCCCUGGGCCUGCACUGACGCUCAUGCACGAAAGCGUGGGGAGCAAACAGG